GUUUGUUAAGAAACAAAAAAAGGGAGUUUUGAGUUAGUGUGUAUGUUUUUAAAAGACACAAACAACAUCAUCUUAUUCAAUGGAAUCCAAGGGAAACAGAGUUUGGUCUUUAUAAUCAAAGAAGAUCAUGAUCCAUAGUAUCAGGAAAAUGCAAGAUGACCACAAAGCAACUGAGCAACAUCUUCUGUAUUCCUUAUAUAUCAAAACUCUUCUCGUGCUGACUCUACCACUUACUUAAUCAAAGUUGGCAUUAAUAUCACCUAUGAUAACAAUAAGCAUUGACAUGCUAAAUCUGAAACAACUUUUUCUGAAUUCAAGUCUUGGUCGCUCAUAUUUAUUUAGACACUGAUCAAUGUCAGCAUUACAUCCUCAUAGAAGUGUGACCCCUACCAUGAACUGCACAUGUGAGGGAUCUAGGCUGUGUGGUCCUUAUGAAUAGAAUGCCUGAUGACCUGAGGUGGAGCUGGUGAUGCUAGCACUGGGAGCAGCUGCAAAUAAUGCAUUAUGUAUUUCAGGUAUUCGAAGGCAGCUAUCGAAUUCUCCACCCAUCUGCUCUUUUCAGGCUCAGCCUCCCCAGCUCCAUCAGCUGUUCUCAUGUGACAUAGUUUCCAGACCUCUGACUUCUGUGGCCACCCUCCUCCGCUUGUUCAUAUGUCUUUUAAAAUGUGACACCCAGAAAGAGCCCUCUAUUGUGUCCUUGGAGUGCUCUAGGCAGCACACUACCUGCCUCGCGUAUUACCUUCAUUUGGAAAGUACAUUUCUGUCUAUCCAGCAUUAAAGCUGCACUGAUCUUUUCAGCAACUGCUUCGGACUGAGGUCUCACAGUGUUGUCCGUGCUUUCUUCAAGAAAAAUUUCUUAAAUUCUUACCAUUUUUCAAAAUACAUGUUAAAU
Molecule: long non-coding RNA, 892 nt
Organism: Tupaia belangeri chinensis (Chinese tree shrew)
Lineage: Eukaryota; Metazoa; Chordata; Mammalia; Scandentia; Tupaiidae
Exons: 3
Source: RefSeq, a predicted model, not a curated record